GAAUGUCAUGGCCCCUGUGCAAGGAUGACACACAAGUUCGUGAAGCAUUCCAUAUUUUA
Small nuclear RNA from Gorilla gorilla gorilla (western lowland gorilla), 59 nucleotides. The record is from Ensembl. NCBI's taxonomy places the organism in Eukaryota, Metazoa, Chordata, Mammalia, Primates, Hominidae.